GCAGCUACCAUGCAGUCGAGGGGCAGCGGGGAAAAGCUUGCUUUUCCGCCGGCGACCGGCGCACGGGUGCGCACCGCGUAUGGAACCUGCCUUGUACAGGGGAAUAGCCCAGGGAAACUUGGAUUAAUGCCCCGUAGUACCGUAUUUCGGCAUCGUUAUACGGUUAAAGCCUUCGGGCGGUACAAGAUGGCCAUGCGUCCCAUUAGCUAGAUGGUAAGGUAACGGCUUACCAUGGCUACGAUGGGUAGGGGCCCUGAGAGGGGGAUCCCCCACACUGGUACUGAGACACGGACCAGACUCCUACGGGAGGCAGCAGUGAGGAAUAUUGGACAAUGGAGGAGACUCUGAUCCAGCCAUGCCGCGUGCAGGAAGAAUGCCCUAUGGGUAGUAAACUGCUUUUAUACGGGAAGAAAAAGAGCUACGUGUAGCUUACUGACGGUACCGUAAGAAUAAGGACCGGCUAACUCCGUGCCAGCAGCCGCGGUAAUACGGAGGGUCCGAGCGUUAUCCGGAAUUAUUGGGUUUAAAGGGUCCGUAGGCGGGCCGAUAAGUCAGGGGUGAAAGUCUGCCGCUCAACGGUAGAACUGCCUUUGAUACUGUCGGUCUUGAGUUAUAGUGAAGUUGCCGGAAUAUGUAGUGUAGCGGUGAAAUGCAUAGAUAUUACAUAGAACACCGAUUGCGAAGGCAGGUGACUAACUAUAUACUGACGCUGAUGGACGAAAGCGUGGGGAGCGAACAGGAUUAGAUACCCUGGUAGUCCACGCCGUAAACGAUGGAUACUAGCUGUCCGGAACCUUGAGUUCUGGGCGGCCAAGCGAAAGUGAUAAGUAUCCCACCUGGGGAGUACGUUCGCAAGAAUGAAACUCAAAGGAAUUGACGGGGGCCCGCACAAGCGGUGGAGCAUGUGGUUUAAUUCGAUGAUACGCGAGGAACCUUACCAGGGCUUAAAUGCAUAUUGACAGGGUCAGAGAUGACUUUUCCUUCGGGCAAUUUGCAAGGUGCUGCAUGGGUUGUCGUCAGCUCGUGCCGUGAGGUGUCAGGUUAAGUCCUAUAACGAGCGCAAA
This 1064-nucleotide ribosomal RNA is filed under the name Maribacter sp. LZD057. RNAcentral describes it as "bacterial SSU rRNA". It matches the Rfam family "Bacterial small subunit ribosomal RNA", at positions 46 to 1102 of the family's 1533-position model. The record is from RNAcentral. Lineage: Bacteria; Pseudomonadati; Bacteroidota; Flavobacteriia; Flavobacteriales; Flavobacteriaceae.